ACUUAGAAGAAUGAGGGAGGGGUGGAUCUCAAGUGUUGAAAUGCCUGGGCAGAGUAGAGAUGGAAAGGAUGUUUCCCAUGAUGGGGGAGUCUAGGCCAAAAUGGCACAGGCUCAGGAUAGAGGGGAAGCAUUUAAAAUAGAGAUGUUGAGAAAUUUCUUUAUCCUGAGGGUGGUGAAUUUGUGGAAUUUGUUACAGGCAAUUGUGGAAGCCAAGUCAUUGGUUGUAUUUAAGGCAAAGAUUGAUGGUUCUUGAUUGGACACGGCAUCAAAGGUUACGGGAAAUAGGCAAGGGAAUGGGGUUGAGAACAGGAAAGAAGGAUCAGCCAUGAUUGAAUGGCAGAGCAGACUUCAUGGGCCAAAUGAACUAAAUCUGCUCCUAUGUCUUAUGAUCUUAUCUCAUUGAAACCAAUUAAAUAUUGAGAAGUCUAUAUAGAGUGGACGAGGAGAGGAUGUUGAUAGUGGGGGAGUCUAGGACCAGAGUGUACAGCCUCAGAAUAGAGGCACAUCCAUUUAGAACAGAGAUGAUGAAUUUCUUUAGCCAGAGGGGAGUAAAUCUGGAGAAUUCAUUACAGCAGAUGGCUGUGAAAGCCAAGUCAUAGUGUGGAUUUAAAGUGGAGAUUGGUAAAUUCUUGAUUAGUCAGAGCGUCAAAGGUUACAGGGAAAAAGACAGAAGAAUGGGGCUGAGAGGGUUAAUAAAUCAGCCACGAUGGAAUGGCACAGCGGACUUGAUGGGCUGAGUGGCCUAAUUCUGUUCCUUUAUCUUAUAGUCUUACAGUCUUACUCAAGUAUUUCUACCUCAACCACUAGCUCCCUGAGAAUCGUGAUCUUCAAGCAGCUCAUAUAUGAAUAAGUUCAAAGACAAGCUGAGCACCUCCACAGAGUUUAUUUACAGUGAAAUGUUUUUGGAUGGACUGCAAAGUUAAAGGCAACAGACUCUGAGAUCCAUUAAAAUUUUGGCUCUGGAGGCCUUUUGGCUCCUACCAGAAAGUGUCUGCAGCACAUAUGUGACUUGGUAAUGUUAAUACACAUUAUGUUAAGGACGUGGUCCAGCAUAUAGUUUGUGUUUCAUUUUGCAUAUGCUGGAUAUGUGAACGGGAGUGGUAUUGAGGCCAUGAUGUAAUUUUUUAAUGCAUGUUUCUAUCUAAUAUUCAAAACCAGUGCAAAUUUUUUUUGGAUAUGCAGCUGGCAGUGCAAUACUUUCAUAUUGUUAAGAAGUAUUUUUUUUUUAGUGCUUUCAUCUGUACAAAUCAGUUAUGUAUAAUGCAUAUCAUGUGUUUAGUAUCUUCUAUUACUCACUUGUACCAUUCAAAAGAAAGCCAAACUAAUAUUUAUUGAAUCCAUCAGCUCCAGUUGUUUGUAGCCAGUGACUGCACAAUUAACCAUAAAAAUGUCAUAACAGCUUCAGAUACAAAUUGAUCUAAUUUGGAAAAGAAUACUAAACAGUGCAAACACAACUACAUCCAAAUUCAAACAUACGCUGGUUACAGAUUUAUUUUACUUUCCUUCCCCUACCCCACCCACCCUCUGAUAUCCUCUCUAAGGCUAACUAAUAGAGAAAGCAUCAAGCUGCUAUGGUCUUGGCUGUCUUCUCCAGGGCAAUUACUCUGCCAAAUUCUCAGAUUACAGUCUCAACAUAUUUUAAUGAGCAACUUUGAAAGUCUGUUUAUAAUGUUUAGGGUUUUUGGAAGAUUCAACAUUUUGCGAUAGAAUGUAUAAGAAUAAGAAUGUGAUUCUCUUUUGUAAUAAUGGUAUUGUGUUAUAUCAAAAAGAGCCAUAUUCUAAAGUUACCACAUGGUUUAUAUGCAAAUAGUGCAACAUUUUCUUGUCUUGUGUGUUGGAUGACUCUGAUUUACAGUACCAUUAUAGUAUCAAGUGGAUUCAAAGCUUUCAUAAUGGAAAAAGAUUGCAGAUUGGUAAUGGGAGAGGAAGAAGGAUGACAUAUUCAUGAAAAGAAUGUGGAAUGUUUGGUCUGUCUCUUUCUAAUACUACAACAUCCAAUGUAAUCUCUCCCUGGGAGUAUAACUGAACUUUGGCAAGAGGUACAUUUUCAGGUAAAAAAACAUCUUUAAACAUUGAGGAGCUGAGUGGCUGUCAGGUAUUCUAUUGCUUUUACUGGGAAAUUGGAGAGGGGACUCUGGUAAUAAGUUCCAAAUGGAAAACAUUUUCUUACUUUCUAUAGAAUUCAGUUUAAUUAUUACGGUAAUAGCAUAAUUUUGAAAUUUUCCAUUAUUAAUAGAGGCCCAAGAAAAGGUACCAACAGUGAUGGCAUCCGUUAGUCUUGCGAGACCAUGGAUCUGCGCCUCGAAAAUCUGUUGGAGUGUCCUCUCCAGGACGCAGGCCUGGGCAAGGUUUUAUGGAAGUCCAGAAGUUGCCCAAGCAGCAAGUCUCCUCUCUCCAUGCCACCGAUGUUGUCCAAGGGAAGGGCAAGGGCAGGUACAGCUUGGCAUCAGUGACGUCGCAAAGGAUGGGUAGAUGGAGCUCGUCAGCCUGGGAAGGUAGUCCAUCUCAGAGAGGGAAAACUCUGAUUUCAAACCUCUGCUGCCUUACGGCCAUACCCACUUAUGGGAAAGGCUUCGGGAGUAAACCCUGAGGACAAAUCCGGAGCUGGAAUCCCUAAGGCAAAGUAUUCGGUGGUUCUGACUUCAGGUUUGGAAAAUGAAUCAGACAGUUCCAUUAAAAGUCUUCCCACAUCUUUAGAGACAAGAUCAACUGAGACCUAGAAUCUGCAUUGCAAUCAGAGGGAUGUCAGAUCCUGUGCCAGUUCUGACCAGGUGAACAGAGUGACGAUUUCCCAAGUGUAACAUUGGGGACUCCCAGUAAGACAGGAGAAUGGUGAAGGAAUGCAGUGACAGAUGUGGCGCCAUCUGUCACUCAGUAUGUCUCAUAAACUCAAAGCCUACUGUGUUUGACAACGCAUGCAUGCAAGUUGGAGACUUUUUGAAGUUUGAA
Long non-coding RNA from Hypanus sabinus (Atlantic stingray), 2949 nucleotides. RefSeq lists it as uncharacterized. Lineage: Eukaryota; Metazoa; Chordata; Chondrichthyes; Myliobatiformes; Dasyatidae. The transcript is spliced from 3 exons. The record is from RefSeq and is a predicted model, not a curated record.